Molecule: ribosomal RNA, 470 nt
Filed under: uncultured bacterium
Lineage: Bacteria
Description: partial 16S ribosomal RNA
Rfam family: Bacterial small subunit ribosomal RNA
Source: RNAcentral
GACGAACGCUGGCGGCGUGCUUAACACAUGCAAGUCGAACGCUGAAGCACCAGCUUGCUGGUGUGGAUGAGUGGCGAACGGGUGAGUAAUACGUGAGUAACCUGCCCUUGACUCUGGGAUAAGCCCGGGAAACUGGGUCUAAUACUGGAUGCUACAUGUCACCGCAUGGUGGUGUGUGGAAAGGGUUUACUGGUCUUGGAUGGGCUCACGGCCUAUCAGCUUGUUGGUGAGGUAAUGGCUCACCAAGGCGACGACGGGUAGCCGGCCUGAGAGGGUGACCGGCCACACUGGGACUGAGACACGGCCCAGACUCCUACGGGAGGCAGCAGGGGGGAAUAUUGCACAAGGGGCGAAAGCCUGAUGCAGCGGCGCCGCGUGAGGGAGGACGGCCUUCGGGUUGUAAACCUCUUUCAGCAGGGAAGAAGCCACAAGUGACGGUACCUGCAGAAGAAGCGCCGGCUAACUACGUG